GUGAGAACCUUUAAAUCAGCCUCCCGGCCCUCCCUCCUCCCGGACGCUGCCCCCCGCCUGCUCAGGCCCCGGCAGGGCCCCGGGCGCGCUGAGCGUAGUCUCCGGCCCCCUCCCCACCCGGGGGGAUAAGGUGGGGAGCUCCGAGAGGACACGGGGGCCGCGGGGGGAGGCGGCUGCGCCCCGCUCCCGGGCUCCGCACCUCCCCCGGAGCGGAGCCCCGCGCCCCGCCUCCGCGCCCACAAGAUGGAUCAGGCUACCGUGCGGAGAGCGGGCUGUAAAUAUUUAAAAAGUCUCUCGCGCGCCGGCGGUAAUGGCUUUCGCAGUCGGAAUGUGUGCUAGAAGAGAGGAAGGGCGAUGUGUGUACUGUGUUGUGAGGUGGGGGAAUUGUUCUUGUGCCUCCCUCCUGGUCCGGGGUGGGCUGCAUGUUCCGGCUUCCCGGUUUCCCGCCCUCUGCCUCUCUCCCGCCGCGUCCCACGAUAGCGUUGAGACCGCCAGUCGAUGGGGAACUUGAGCAUGGCAGGGCGACGGAGGCCCGGACGAGGUGACCUGGAGCCACUCUCCCCUUCAGGGUCUCCCAAGGUCCUGGGCUGGGACUGGUCUGAGACCCCCGGUCCAGGUCUGGUUCUCGCUGAUGCACAGGGGAGGGCGGGAAACGCACAGGUUGGAACCCCCUGAGUUUGGGUGGUCUCUAAAGCCUCGGCCUAGGUUUCUGCAGCUCUGCAGCGGGGGCUUGGGCCCUGUUUGUGCCUUUGCCCCCCCCCCCCAUGCCUCUCUUAAGCCUUGAUCCACUCUAAAGGAGAGCCCUUCCCCCGCCCCCCCUUCUGAAUCUGAAAGUAGCUUUGUGGCUGCUGGGACCGAAACCUGGGAGGAGGCAACGCGGAGAGACUGAGGAGGGGGCGGGGCGCCUAGCGCCCAGGCUUCGUGGAGGUCACACGUGGAUGUGGAGGGGGUUCAUUUGCUUCUCUGGCGAGUGUGGGCCUGGGAUCCUUAAGGCCGAGCCCAGCCGGAUGGAAGAGGCUCAUGUGGAAAGCCAGCCAGAAUGGUCAAGAGGUCCUUUCUCCUUCCUUCAACCUGAGAACUUGGCAAUGAUCAAAAGGAGGUGAUUAGUAGCUACAGAGAAAAGACACCAGCAGGCAAGGAGUUAACAGACGCUGAGCCCUUCACCCCCAGGUUCGGGAUGGGGGAGCGGUGGAGAGAGCUGGUCACAAAGGCGAGGGGUCCUGGUGAAAAAGCCCACGUCCUAGAAGCCAACUUUGAAGAACAAAGUAGAGGAUCCAUUAAAAGUUAAUUCAGUAAAUAAACUUCAUUGGCGAUAAAACAAACAAGAAAGAUGGAAGCGCCAACUUAAAAUAGCCAAAAGAUAAUAAAAAUAAAUAGUUUUGAUGUGGCCUCAACAUGUGCUGUGCCUUUUGGCAGGCAGGUCCCUACCCUGGUCCACCCUGCAGAGGCCUCCAUGGAGCACCCUCUCUCCUUUUGAAAAGCCCUCAUGUGUACACGCAAUGUUUUUUGGCAUUUGUCAUUUUUAGGCAACUUCACACAUCAAAGGCGAGCACAAUGUUCUUUUCAGCUCCCUGGUUCCAGCCGCCCAGUGAAGCAGAUACAAUUUCUAUAAAUUGGCCUUCUCCUCUGGGUUUUGAUUGAUCAUCACCAUAUGA
RNAcentral lists this long non-coding RNA (1655 nucleotides) under Equus caballus (horse). Its description in RNAcentral is "lncRNA (ENSECAG00000059040.1)". Lineage: Eukaryota; Metazoa; Chordata; Mammalia; Perissodactyla; Equidae. The record is from RNAcentral.